Molecule: ribosomal RNA, 458 nt
Filed under: uncultured bacterium
Lineage: Bacteria
Description: partial 16S ribosomal RNA
Rfam family: Bacterial small subunit ribosomal RNA
Source: RNAcentral
CCUACGGGUGGCAGCAGUGAGGAAUAUUGGUCAAUGGGCGAGAGCCUGAACCAGCCAAGUCGCGUGAGGGAGUACUGCCCUAUGGGUUGUAAACCUCUUUUGUCGGGGAGCAAAAGCCGGACGUGUCCGGCUGUGAGAGUACCCGAAGAAAAAGCAUCGGCUAACUCCGUUCCAGGAGCCGCGGUUAUACGGAGGGUGCGAACGUUAACCGGAGUUUUUGGGUGUUAAGGGUGCGCAGGCGGGUUGUUAAGGUAGCGGUAAAAGCGUGGGGCUGAACCCCAUCAAGCCGUUGAAACUGGGGGUCUGGAGUGUGCGAGAGGUAUGCGGAAUGCGUGGUGUAGCGGUGAAAUGCAUAGAUAUCGCGCAGAACCCCGAUUGCGAAGGCAGCAUACCGGUUCACAACUGACGCUGAGGCACGAAAGCGUGGGUAUCGAACAGGAUUAGAUACCCGUGUAGUC